UGUAUGAUGAGAAUUUGGUAUCUGAAUGACUUUGUCGAAAAUCUUUUUUUUACCAUACUGUUGCCUUCCUUCUGAACAC
Drosophila navojoa is the source of this 79-nucleotide small nucleolar RNA. RefSeq annotates it as small nucleolar RNA U83. Lineage: Eukaryota; Metazoa; Arthropoda; Insecta; Diptera; Drosophilidae. The record is from RefSeq and is a predicted model, not a curated record.